Molecule: ribosomal RNA, 497 nt
Filed under: uncultured bacterium
Lineage: Bacteria
Description: partial 16S ribosomal RNA
Rfam family: Bacterial small subunit ribosomal RNA
Source: RNAcentral
GAUGAACGCUGGCGGCGUGCCUAAUACAUGCAAGUCGAGCGAACAGACGAGGAGCUUGCUCCUCUGACGUUAGCGGCGGACGGGUGAGUAACACGUGGAUAACCUACCUAUAAGACUGGGAUAACUUCGGGAAACCGGAGCUAAUACCGGAUAAUAUAUUGAACCGCAUGGUUCAAUAGUGAAAGACGGUUUUGCUGUCACUUAUAGAUGGAUCCGCGCCGCAUUAGCUAGUUGGUAAGGUAACGGCUUACCAAGGCGACGAUGCGUAGCCGACCUGAGAGGGUGAUCGGCCACACUGGAACUGAGACACGGUCCAGACUCCUACGGGAGGCAGCAGUAGGGAAUCUUCCGAAAUGGGCGAAAGCCUGACGGAGCAACGCCGCGUGAGUGAUGAAGGUCUUCGGAUCGUAAAACUCUGUUAUUAGGGAAGAACAAAUGUGUAAGUAACUAUGCACGUCUUGACGGUACCUAAUCAGAAAGCCACGGCUAACUCCGUG